Molecule: ribosomal RNA, 699 nt
Filed under: uncultured bacterium
Lineage: Bacteria
Description: bacterial SSU rRNA
Rfam family: Bacterial small subunit ribosomal RNA
Source: RNAcentral
GAGUUUGAUUCCUGGCUCAAGACGAACGCUGGCGGCGUGCCUAAUACAUGCAAGUCGAGCGAGCUUGCCUAGAUGAUUUUAGUUGCUUGCACUAAAUGAAACUAGAUACAAGCGAGCGGCGGACGGGUGAGUAACACGUGGGUAACCUGCCCAAGAGACUGGGAUAACACCUGGAAACAGAUGCUAAUACCGGAUAACAACACUAGACGCAUGUCUAGAGUUUGAAAGAUGGUUCUGCUAUCACUCUUGGAUGGACCUGCGGUGCAUUAGCUAGUUGGUAAGGUAACGGCUUACCAAGGCAAUGAUGCAUAGCCGAGUUGAGAGACUGAUCGGCCACAUUGGGACUGAGACACGGCCCAAACUCCUACGGGAGGCAGCAGUAGGGAAUCUUCCACAAUGGACGAAAGUCUGAUGGAGCAACGCCGCGUGAGUGAAGAAGGGUUUCGGCUCGUAAAGCUCUGUUGGUAGUGAAGAAAGAUAGAGGUAGUAACUGGCCUUUAUUUGACGGUAAUUACUUAGAAAGUCACGGCUAACUACGUGCCAGCAGCCGCGGUAAUACGUAGGUGGCAAGCGUUGUCCGGAUUUAUUGGGCGUAAAGCGAGUGCAGGCGGUUCAAUAAGUCUGAUGUGAAAGCCUUCGGCUCCACCGGAGAAUUGCAUCAGAAACUGUUGAACUUGAGUGCAGAAGAGGAGAGUGGAA